This 215-nucleotide ribosomal RNA is filed under the name uncultured bacterium. RNAcentral describes it as "partial 16S ribosomal RNA". It matches the Rfam family "Bacterial small subunit ribosomal RNA", at positions 137 to 334 of the family's 1533-position model. The record is from RNAcentral.
AGGGGACGAACAGUUGGAAACGACUGCUAAUACCGCAUACGAUCUAAUCUCGGCAUCGGGAGUGGAUAGAAAGGGUGGCCUCUAUUUAUAAGCUAUCACUGAAGGAGGGGAUUGCGUCUGAUUAGCUAGUUGGAGGGGUAACGGCCCACCAAGGCGAUGAUCAGUAGCCGGUCUGAGAGGAUGAACGGCCACAUUGGGACUGAGACACGGCCCAG